RNAcentral lists this long non-coding RNA (233 nucleotides) under Elaeis guineensis (African oil palm). RNAcentral's name for it is "long non-coding RNA (EGUI_LNC058559)". The record is from RNAcentral. Lineage: Eukaryota; Viridiplantae; Streptophyta; Magnoliopsida; Arecales; Arecaceae.
GUCACAUACUUUGAGAUUUGAUCUUAAUCUGAUUUAAUUUAAAUUUAAUAUAAAUCUUGAGGGUUAAUUUGAUAUGUUAGCAUAUUGUGUUAAUCCAAGUUUCUAAUUAGAUUCAGUUCAAAGUGUUUGAGCUAAACUAGACUUGUUACCUUUGACCUAAUUAGAUUGGGUCUAUUUUAAUUUGACUCUUAUCCAACUUGGAAGUAUUUCAAGUGUGAAAGGAGUCCUCUGUG